GGAGACGUCCUGAAUUCUGAGGGGAGGUCUUCAAUCUAUGGGAUUCAGCCAUCCCGGACGGCUGCCCACCCCUGGUCGGGACGGUGCCGGACGGCCGCGGCGACGACGACUCGCACGCGCGCCCGCUCCCGGCGACCGCCCGCCGGGGCGACUGGCUCCGCUCACUCCGAUUGGCGCAAUUCCCCCCCUGUGAGAACGUCGCGACCCGUUGGGCGCCCAGUGCCCCAGGGGCCUGGGGUGGCAGACCGCGCUCGGGGACGAUGAGCACCAGCGCGGACCCCCACGCACCCGGCCGGCGCCCGACGGAAGGAAUGAGGAGACGGUCCGCAGACACGAUGCGUCCGCUCCGGGGAUCGCGCCCUCCCGCUGGGUACACAGGAGGUUAGUCACGCCUCCCCCAGGCCGGGAGCGACGUCGUGAACCGGUCAGUCUCGGACAGUGACCACGUGCUCCGGUCGCGCGACGAGCAAACCUUCGGACGGUCUCCCG
Molecule: ribosomal RNA, 489 nt
Filed under: Diapheromerinae sp. SB0108
Lineage: Eukaryota; Metazoa; Arthropoda; Insecta; Phasmatodea; Diapheromeridae
Description: partial large subunit ribosomal RNA
Source: RNAcentral